GAUCUAAGGGCUUUUGGGCUGAAACUCAGGGGUAUUUUGUGUGUGUGUGUGUGUGUGUGUGUUUUGCGUUUCGAAGGGAUCAAAAAGGUCUGAUCGGAUGUUCAGGAUAAAUUGGAGGUUAAAGCAACAAACCGACCAAAUAUUGAGUGCUGACACCUAUCAACUUUCGAUGGUAGGAUAGUAGCCUAGUAUGGUGGUGACGGGUGAUGGAGAAUUAGGGUUCAAUUCUAAAGAAGGAGCCUAAGAAAUGGCUACCACAUCCAAGGAACAGGCACGCAAAUUACCCAAUCCUAAUACAGGGAGGUAUUAACCAUUAAUAACAAUACCAAGCUCUACGAAUCUAGUAAUUUGAAUAAGUACAAUCUAAAUUCCUUAAUGGGGAUCCAUUGAAGGGAAAGUCUAGUGCUAGCAACUGUGGUAAUUCUAGCUCCAAUAGCUUAUAUUAAAGAUUUUGCAGUUAAAAAACUCAUAGUUGGACCUUAGGUUGGGCUGACCAGUUCGCCUCACAGUGUGCACCAGCCUCUCAUCGCUUCUACGUAGAAUGCAUUCCUAGCCUUAACUAGUUGAGCCAUGCCUCCAAUGUUAUUACUUUGAAAAAAUUAGAGUGCUCAAAGCAAGUCUACACUCUAGAAACAUUAGCAUGGGAUAACAUCAUAGGAUUUUGGUCCUAUUACGGUGGCCUUUAGGAUUAAAGUAAUGAUUAGCAAGGACAAUUGGGGGAGUUCGUGUUUCAUAGUCAAAGGUAAAAUUAUUGGAUUUAUGAAAUAUGAACCACUAUAAAAACAUUUGCCAAGGAUGUUUUCAUUAAUCAAGAACAAAAUUUUAGGGCUCAAAGGCAAUUAGAUGUUGUCCUAUUCUCAACCAUAAACAAUGCCAACCAAGGGUUAGCAAAUGUUUCUUUUAGGACUCCACUAGCACUUUAUGAGAAAUCAAAAUCUUUGGGUUCCAUUAAGAGUACGGUCGCAAGGUUGAAACUUAAAAGAAUUGAUAGAAGGACAUCACUAGGAGUGAAGCCUACAACUUAAUUUGACUCAACACGAGUAAACUUACCAAGUCCAGACAUAGUAAGGUUGACAGACUAAAAGCUCAUUCUUGAUUCUAUGAGUGUUGGUGCAUGGUCGUUCUUAGUUGGUGGAGUGAUUUGUCUAAUUAAUUCUGUUAACGAACGAGACAUCAACCUACUAAUUAGCUAUGUGGGGGCACCAUUUGUGGCUAGCUUCUUAGAGGGACCAUGUCCAUUUAAGCGACAAAGUUUUGAGGCGAUAAUAGGUUUGUGAUGCCCUUAGAUGUUUUGGGCCGCACACACAUUACACUGAUGUAUUCAACGAGUCUAUAGCCAUGGUUGAUAUAUCUGGAUAAUCUUUAAAAAUUUCAUUAUGAUGGGGAUAAAUCAUUACAUUUGUUGGUCUUCAACGAGGAAUUCCUAGUAAGCGCGAGUCAUCAGCUCGCGUUGACUACGUCCCUGCCCUUUGUACACACCGCCUAUCACUUCUACCAAUUGAAUGGUUUGCUGAAGUGUUCAGAUCAUGGCGGCAUAGGUAAUUUAUCGCACAUGACAUUGUGCGAAGUCCACUUAACCUUAUCAUUUAGAGGAAAGAGAAGUCAUAACAAGGUUUUCGUAUAUGAACCUACAGAAUGAUCAUUU
Non-coding RNA from Nelumbo nucifera (sacred lotus), 1645 nucleotides. Lineage: Eukaryota; Viridiplantae; Streptophyta; Magnoliopsida; Proteales; Nelumbonaceae. The record is from Rfam.